GUUCUAGCUUCAGCAGCACAUAUACUGACAUUGGAACAAUACAGGGAAGAUUACCAUGGUCCCUGCACAAGGAUGACAUGCAAAUUCGUGAAGCUUUACAUAUUUUU
Molecule: small nuclear RNA, 107 nt
Organism: Cynocephalus volans (Philippine flying lemur)
Lineage: Eukaryota; Metazoa; Chordata; Mammalia; Dermoptera; Cynocephalidae
Source: RefSeq, a predicted model, not a curated record